ACGCUCGACACCUACGGGGGCAGCAGUGGGGAAUAUUGGGCAAUGGGCGCAAGCCUGACCCAGCAACGCCGCGUGAAGGAAGAAGGCCCUCGGGUUGUAAACUUCUUUUGUCAGGGACGAAGCAAGUGACGGUACUUGACGAAUAAGCCACGGCUAACUACGUGCAAGCAGCCGCGGUAAUCUGAGCGGGCUGGCAAGGC
This 200-nucleotide ribosomal RNA is filed under the name uncultured bacterium. Its description in RNAcentral is "partial 16S ribosomal RNA". It matches the Rfam family "Bacterial small subunit ribosomal RNA", at positions 328 to 539 of the family's 1533-position model. The record is from RNAcentral.